RNAcentral lists this unclassified non-coding RNA (246 nucleotides) under Ascomycota sp. Its description in RNAcentral is "partial contains small subunit ribosomal RNA, internal transcribed spacer 1, and 5.8S ribosomal RNA". The stretch from base 1 to 47 matches the Rfam family "Eukaryotic small subunit ribosomal RNA", at positions 1785 to 1831 of the family's 1831-position model. Lineage: Eukaryota; Fungi; Ascomycota. The record is from RNAcentral.
AAAGUCGUAACAAGGUUUCCGUAGGUGAACCUGCGGAAGGAUCAUUACAUAAAAAGUUUAUACUUUUUAAACCCAUUGUGAACCAAAAACCCUGAACUGCUUCGGUAGCUGGCCUGUUCCGUUUCGACGGUUGGGUGCCGUCAGCCUACCGGUAGCAAACCUAUUAAACAUGCUUUGAAAACUUGUCGGAAAACAAUCAUUUUCGAAUGAAAAUUAAAACUUUCAACAACGGAUCUCUUGGUUCUC